CGAAAAUCGUUGAAGGGAAUUAGUACAUAUGUCUUCUUACGAAAGAGAGUGGAAUUCACCGGCUGAAAGAUUCCUCGUAUAGAAUGUAUCGAACCUAUCCCUGAGUCUUAAAUGAAAGUUUAGGCGUUCGCCUGCGUUAUAGGCGUCAAGUGGAUAUCUAUGUAUAUCAAUCAAGGUGGUACCGCGGAACAAUGACCGUUUCGUCCUUAUU
Molecule: non-coding RNA, 211 nt
Organism: Bacillus cereus Rock4-18
Lineage: Bacteria; Bacillati; Bacillota; Bacilli; Caryophanales; Bacillaceae
Source: Rfam